CACAAUACCCGACAAGCUAGAAUGAAGCCAAGGAUCCAUUUCAGGAUUGUCUAUGCUUAUUUUAGUCGAUCCCACACGAAAAAAUUAUUCGUGAUGAGGCAAAAUUGAAGCUCCAACAUUAAAAAGCUUUAAAAAAGCAGGAGGAUAGUGAUUAUAUACAACCUUCAUUCAAACACAAUAUUACAAAGUUUACACCUUUGCUUCAUUUUUUGGGGGGUGCAAAAUGUACACUGUUGUUUUAAACCUUAAUAAUAUAAAAUGACCCUCAAGGACCCCAUGGUUCAGUAUGCCAGAAACUGAAACAACAUCAUCAAGAGAGAGUUUUUUACAAGGCUUUACGGUUCUUUCUACCGGAGAAAGCUUUACACAUAAAAUAACGCCAGCUUUUUGAGGCAAGGGCUAUCCUGAGAGGGAGAGUAAUAUCUUACAAAUUGCAUGAAUCAUNNNNNNNNNNNNNNNNNN
RNAcentral lists this long non-coding RNA (462 nucleotides) under Panax ginseng (ginseng). Its description in RNAcentral is "long non-coding RNA (PGIN_LNC012785)". The record is from RNAcentral. Lineage: Eukaryota; Viridiplantae; Streptophyta; Magnoliopsida; Apiales; Araliaceae.